RNAcentral lists this ribosomal RNA (500 nucleotides) under uncultured bacterium. RNAcentral's name for it is "partial 16S ribosomal RNA". It matches the Rfam family "Bacterial small subunit ribosomal RNA", at positions 30 to 523 of the family's 1533-position model. The record is from RNAcentral.
AUUGAACGCUAGCGGGAUGCCUUACACAUGCAAGUCGAACGGCAGCGCGGACUUCGGUCUGGCGGCGAGUGGCGAACGGGUGAGUAAUGUAUCGGAACGUGCCCAGUAGCGGGGGAUAACUACUCGAAAGAGUAGCUAAUACCGCAUACGCCCUACGGGGGAAAGGGGGGGAUCGCAAGACCUCUCACUAUUGGAGCGGCCGAUAUCGGAUUAGCUAGUUGGUGAGGUAAAGGCUCACCAAGGCGACGAUCCGUAGCUGGUUUGAGAGGACGACCAGCCACACUGGGACUGAGACACGGCCCAGACUCCUACGGGAGGCAGCAGUGGGGAAUUUUGGACAAUGGGGGAAACCCUGAUCCAGCCAUUCCGCGUGUGCGAUGAAGGCCUUCGGGUUGUAAAGCACUUUUGGCAGGAAAGAAAUCGCAUGGAUUAAUACUCUGUGUGGAUGACGGUACCUGCAGAAUAAGCACCGGCUAACUACGUGCCAGCAGCCGCGGUAA